UACGUAGGGGGCAAGCGUUGUCCGGAUUUAUUGGGCGUAAAGGGCGCGUAGGCGGUUUCUUAAGUUUGGAGUGACAGUGGGUGGCUUAACUACCCAAGGCCUUUGAAAACUGGGGAACUUGAGGACCAGAGAGGGACAUAGAAUUCCGGGUGGAGUGGUGAAAUGCGUAGAUAUCCGGAGGAAUACCAAAGGCGAAGGCAGUGUCCUGGAGGGUGACUGACGCUGAGGCGCGAAAGCUAGGGGAGCAAACGGG
This 253-nucleotide ribosomal RNA is filed under the name uncultured bacterium. RNAcentral's name for it is "partial 16S ribosomal RNA". It matches the Rfam family "Bacterial small subunit ribosomal RNA", at positions 524 to 776 of the family's 1533-position model. The record is from RNAcentral.